CGGUUAAGUUAGAAAGGGCGCACGGUGGAUGCCUUGGCACUAGGAGCCGAUGAAGGACGGGACGAACACCGAUAUGCUUCGGGGAGCUGUAAGCAAGCUUUGAUCCGGAGAUUUCCGAAUGGGGAAACCCACUGCUCGU
RNAcentral lists this ribosomal RNA (139 nucleotides) under Bacillus licheniformis. RNAcentral describes it as "partial 23S ribosomal RNA". It matches the Rfam family "Bacterial large subunit ribosomal RNA", at positions 1 to 138 of the family's 2925-position model. The record is from RNAcentral. Lineage: Bacteria; Bacillati; Bacillota; Bacilli; Caryophanales; Bacillaceae.